GGAAGCAUUUUCUCUCCUGUUGCUGGUCAGAGGGAAGGCCUGGUCAUUCUCUCCAUGCCUGCUGUUAUGGAGUCAGGUCCCAGACCUUAUUUUUUCUGCUUCUUCUGCUUACUCCCAGCUGCCUUUAGUUGGGGACAUGUCUGUUGAAAUGAAUGGACAACAUGAGUUUGCUGGUCACCUCUGGCACACUAAAGACCCUGUAACAGGACAACUGAAGGUGAUGUGAUCUCUGAGAGAUGGAGAGCACAAGGAGGCAGAGAGCCAGG
Molecule: long non-coding RNA, 266 nt
Organism: Mustela erminea (ermine)
Lineage: Eukaryota; Metazoa; Chordata; Mammalia; Carnivora; Mustelidae
Exons: 3
Source: RefSeq, a predicted model, not a curated record